Long non-coding RNA from Pseudopipra pipra, 1199 nucleotides. RefSeq lists it as uncharacterized. The transcript is spliced from 2 exons. NCBI's taxonomy places the organism in Eukaryota, Metazoa, Chordata, Aves, Passeriformes, Pipridae. The record is from RefSeq and is a predicted model, not a curated record.
AAACAGAACUGGCCCCAAUACUGAGCCUUGGGAAACACCACUAGUGCCCAGCUGCCAACUGGAUGUGGCACCAUGCACCAACACUGGGUGGCCCUGGGCCCAGCCAUCCAGCCAGUUCUUAACCCAGCCAGGGCACCUGUCCAAGCCAUGGCCAGACAGCUUUUCUAGGAGUAUGCUAUAGGAGACAGUGUCAGAGGCUUUGCUGAAGCCCAGGUAGACCACAUCCACAGCCUUCCCCUCAUCCACCAAGUGGGUCACUGGUAAUAAAGGAGAUCAGGUUGGUGAGGUAAGGCCUGCCUUUAAUAAACCCAUCAUGGCUGGGCCUGCUCUCCUGGUUGUCCUAUAUGCUGCGUGAUUACACUAAAGAUGACAUUUUCCACAACCUUGCUGGAUACUAAGGACAGGCUGAGACCCCUGCAGUUCCAUGGAUCCUUCUUCCAGACCUUCUUGUGGAUGAGCGCAACAUUGGCUAACCUCCAGUCAUCUGGGACCUUUCUGGUUAGCCAGGAUUGAUGCUAAAUAAUGACAUUUGAGAAGGGAAGGGCAAAGGGAGAGAACAACACAGCUCCUGCAGCACUUCCACACCUUCAAGAAAGGAGUCCAAACUUCAGAUUCCAAGAGGAUUAUCAUUGUAAACUUCAGUUAGAUGAUAAAAACACAGCUACUUUCAGUAAACUGUAGAGGAGAAAGAAAAGGAGCAAUGCAAGGAAUUUUCAGAAUGCAGGUUCUAACUUUGCAAAUGACAUAAAGAUUGCCCCUUACCUGCUCACCUAUAAGCAAAUAAAAGAUGCACUUGAACAAUGUAAAUAAGCAAACCUCUUCAAAAUAUUUUGGGAGGAAUAAGUUAUCAAUGUAUUUUGCAUACUUUUUGGGUACUGAAUCAACACCUGAUUUUAAAAGAACUUCCUCCAAGUUGCAUAUAAAUGAAUCAAACACAUGGCAGUCAAAUGCAUUUCCUGUACCAAGGCUGCCUUUCUAAAUUCCCAUCCUCAUGAAAACAUGAAAGAACUCUCCCACAUUUAUACCCCAUUAUCUGUAUACAGAAAGCAUGCAGAAAUGUACAUAUGGAAUUAAUUUACACAGAAGUGUUGAAUGGGCACAAACGAAAGGUCAAAAAUGCCCUUUUCAAAGUUCAGAUGGGGGAAAAAAGGAAAAAGACAACUGAAGACAAUAAAAACUUAAUUUUUAAAUGAACAGAG